CCUGAUUCCAUGCCGAACUCAGAAGUGAAACGAAUUAGCGCCGAUGGUAGUGUGGGGUCUCCCCAUGUGAGAGUAGGACAUCGCCAGGC
RNAcentral lists this ribosomal RNA (89 nucleotides) under Vibrio diazotrophicus. The record is from RNAcentral. Lineage: Bacteria; Pseudomonadati; Pseudomonadota; Gammaproteobacteria; Vibrionales; Vibrionaceae.